UCUUGUGGAGCGAUAAUCCUGAUCCUGAUGGUAUUACUGGGUCUGUGUCUGUUGUGGAUCAAUAAACAAGCAGGCUACUCAGCUUCAUGCGAUCCAUGUGCAUCCAGUGAGCAGACAAAUGAAGACAUAGUGGAGGAACAGCAGGUGCAGACAGAGGGAGAGGAUCUGGAAGCACAAUAUGG
Molecule: long non-coding RNA, 182 nt
Organism: Epinephelus fuscoguttatus (brown-marbled grouper)
Lineage: Eukaryota; Metazoa; Chordata; Actinopteri; Perciformes; Serranidae
Exons: 3
Source: RefSeq, a predicted model, not a curated record